RNAcentral lists this ribosomal RNA (301 nucleotides) under uncultured bacterium. Its description in RNAcentral is "partial 16S ribosomal RNA". It matches the Rfam family "Bacterial small subunit ribosomal RNA", at positions 509 to 807 of the family's 1533-position model. The record is from RNAcentral.
CAGCCGCCGCGGGAAUACGAAGGGUGCAAGCGUUAAUCGGAAUUACUGGGCGUAAAGCGUGCGUAGGCGGUUUGUUAAGUCUGUUGUGAAAUCCCCGGGCUUAACCUGGGAAUGGCAAUGGAUACUGGCAAGCUAGAGUGUGUCAGAGGAUGGUGGAAUUCCCGGUGUAGCGGUGAAAUGCGUAGAGAUCGGGAGGAACAUCAGUGGCGAAGGCGGCCAUCUGGGACAACACUGACGCUGAGGCGCGAAAGCGUGGGGAGCAAACAGGAUUAGAUACCCCGGUAGUCCCUGUCUCUUAUAC